AACGAACGCUGGCGGCACGCCUAACACAUGCAAGUCGUGCGAGAAGCUACCUUCGGGUAGUGGGCAGCGGCGGACGGGUGAGUAACGCGUGGGCACCUGCCUUUUAGUAUGGAACAACAGUUGGAAACGACUGCUAAUACCGUAUACGCCCUUCGGGGGAAAGAUUUAUCGCUAAAAGAUGGGCCCGCGUUAGAUUAGCUAGUUGGUGAGGUAAUGGCUCACCAAGGCGACGAUCUAUAGCUGGUUUGAGAGGAUGAUCAGCCACACUGGGACUGAGACACGGCCCAG
RNAcentral lists this ribosomal RNA (288 nucleotides) under uncultured bacterium. RNAcentral describes it as "partial 16S ribosomal RNA". It matches the Rfam family "Bacterial small subunit ribosomal RNA", at positions 29 to 334 of the family's 1533-position model. The record is from RNAcentral.